RNAcentral lists this small RNA (551 nucleotides) under Pan troglodytes (chimpanzee). Its description in RNAcentral is "retained intron". The record is from RNAcentral. Lineage: Eukaryota; Metazoa; Chordata; Mammalia; Primates; Hominidae.
GUGCUGCGGAGCCAAAUUUGAAGCAAGCGGAGGCGCGGGGGCGCGUCUACGAAGCCGGACCUGUAGCAGUUUCUUUGGCUGCCUGGGCCCCUUGAGUCCAGCCAUCAUGCCUAUCCGUGCUCUGUGCACUAUCUGCUCCGACUUCUUCGAUCACUCCCGCGACGUGGCCGCCAUCCACUGCGGCCACACCUUCCACUUGCAGUGCCUAAUUCAGUGGUUUGAGACAGCACCAAGUCGGACCUGCCCACAGUGCCGAAUCCAGGAGGAGGAGAAUGUCUUGGAUGCAGAAUUCUUAAAGAAUGAACUGGACAAUAUCAGAGCCCAGCUUUCCCAGAAAGACAAGGAGAAACGAGACAGCCAGGUCAUCAUCGACACUCUGCGGGAUACGCUGGAAGAACGCAAUGCUACUGUGGUAUCUCUGCAGCAGGCCUUGGGCAAGGCCGAGAUGCUGUGCUCCACACUGAAAGUAGGUCCUCAGGUUUUAUGGGUACAGAAUUCAUAGGGAGGUAUUGCCCCAGAGCUGGACUCCCCAUUCUGGGCUUAUCUUCUGG